Molecule: non-coding RNA, 68 nt
Organism: Podarcis lilfordi (Lilford's wall lizard)
Lineage: Eukaryota; Metazoa; Chordata; Lepidosauria; Squamata; Lacertidae
Source: the annotation of a GenBank genome assembly
GAAACUCAGUUGGUUAGAAUGUGGUGCUGAUGAUGUCAAGGUUGCAGGUUUGAUCCCCGUAGGGAACA